UACAGAGGGUGCGAGCGUUGUUCGGAAUUAUUGGGCGUAAAGCGCUUGUAGGCGGCUUGUUAAGUUCCGUGUGAAAUCCCCAGGCUUAACCUGGGAAGUGCGCGGAAAACUGGCGAGCUUGAGUGCCGGAGAGGGUCGCGGAAUUCCCGGUGUAGAGGUGAAAUUCGUAGAUAUCCGGAGGAACACCGGUGGCGAAGGCGGCUUCCUGGACCGACACUGACGCUGAGGCGCGAAAGCUAGGGGAGCAAACGGG
RNAcentral lists this ribosomal RNA (253 nucleotides) under uncultured bacterium. RNAcentral's name for it is "partial 16S ribosomal RNA". It matches the Rfam family "Bacterial small subunit ribosomal RNA", at positions 524 to 776 of the family's 1533-position model. The record is from RNAcentral.